Molecule: ribosomal RNA, 468 nt
Filed under: uncultured bacterium
Lineage: Bacteria
Description: bacterial SSU rRNA
Rfam family: Bacterial small subunit ribosomal RNA
Source: RNAcentral
GGACCCGCACAAGCAGCGGAGCAUGUGGUUUAAUUCGAAGCAACGCGAAGAACCUUACCAGGGCUUGACAUCCCUCUGCCCGAUCUAGAGAUAGGUCCUUCCCUUCGGGGACAGAGGAGACAGGUGGUGCAUGGUUGUCGUCAGCUCGUGUCGUGAGAUGUUGGGUUAAGUCCCGCAACGAGCGCAACCCUUGCCUUUAGUUGCUAACAGGUAAUGCUGAGCACUCUAGAGGGACUGCCGAUGACAAAUCGGAGGAAGGUGGGGAUGACGUCAAAUCAUCAUGCCCUUUAUGUCCUGGGCUACACACGUGCUACAAUGGUCGGUACAACGAGUAGCCACCUAGCGAUAGGGAGCCAAUCUCUAAAAGCCGAUCCCAGUUCGGAUUGCAGGCUGCAACUCGCCUGCAUGAAGCCGGAGUUGCUAGUAAUCGCGGAUCAGCAUGCCGCGGUGAAUGCGUUCCCGGGUCUU